Molecule: long non-coding RNA, 881 nt
Filed under: Homo sapiens (human)
Lineage: Eukaryota; Metazoa; Chordata; Mammalia; Primates; Hominidae
Description: non-protein coding lnc-PSG4-3:1
Source: RNAcentral
GGUGAUGAAUGUGAAAUGCACGGACGUGGGCCUUCUGUCAAUCAGCUCCCUGCCAUGGAGACCUGACAGAGUCUCAUUCAUGGCUGCCACAACAGAGAGACUGAGAAAAAGAUGCAACCAUGAAAAGGUGAAAAGGUGGUAAGUUCUAAUGACAUAGAAAAUAGCAAUCAGCCUUUCUUAUGUCUGAAAGCCUUCCAAAAUAUCUGAGUGCAGUAGAGAUUUGACAGAGGACUGAUCACCAUCCUAGAAACAUGGUGAGAGGGAAAAAAAAAACUGCAAGAAUAUAAUCAUCUCCCAUCAAUUUCCCAAGAGGAAUAAUGUAGUACUUGAAGAAACAAUUAUAGAGUACCUCAUGCUACAUGCCUCUUCCUGAGGCUCCCCCAUGUAAAAUAACAUCACCUUCAUUCCUUCUUUACUUUUCUUUCCAUGACAGCUCCUUCAGGAAUAGGACGUCUUCCUCUCCUUAAUCCAAUAUAGCAGCCGUGAAGUCAUUUCUGUAUUUCAGGAAGACUGGCAGGAGAUUUAUGGAAAAGACUCUGACAAGGACUCUUGAAUACAAGUUCCUGAUAACUUCAAGAUCAUACCACUGGACUAAGAACUUUCAAAAUUUUAAUGAACAGGCUGAUACCUUCAUGAAAUUCUAGACAAAGAAGAAAAAAACUCCAUGUUAUUGGACUAAAUAAUCAAAAGCAUAAUGUUUUCAUAAUUUUCUAUUUGAAAAUGUGCUGAUUCUUUGAAUGUUUUAUUCUCCAGAUUUAUGAACUUUUUUUCUUGAGCAAUUGGUAAAGUAUACUUUUGUAAACAAAAAUUGAAACAUUUGCUUUUGCUCUCUAUCUGAGUGCCCCAGAAUUGGGAAACUAUUCAUGAGUAUUCAUAUGUUU